GAGUUUGAUCCUGGCUCAGGACGAACGCUGGCGGCGUGCUUAAGACAUGCAAGUCGUGCGAGAAAGCCACCUUCGGGUGGCGAGUACAGCGGCGCACGGGUGAGUAACGCGUGGGUAAUCUACCUUCGGGCUCGGGAUAACCUCGGGAAACUGGGGCUAAUACCGGAUGAGACCACGAGACCUUUGGAUCUCGCGGCAAAAGAUGGCCUCUCCAUGGAAGCUAUCACCUGUAGAUGAGCCCGCGUCCCAUUAGCUUGUUGGUGAGGUAAAGGCUCACCAAGGCUCCGAUGGGUAGCUGGUCUGAGAGGAUGAUCAGCCACACUGGAACUGAGACACGGUCCAGACUCCUACGGGAGGCAGCAGUCGGGAAUUUUGGGCAAUGGGCGAAAGCCUGACCCAGCAACGCCGCGUGAGGGAUGAAGGCCUUCGGGUCGUAAACCUCUGUCGAGAGGGAAGAAAGGUCCGCGUACGAAUAAUGCGCGGGCUUGACGGUACCUCGAAAGGAAGUGCCGGCUAACUCCGUGCCAGCAGCCGCGGUAAUACGGAGGGCACAAGCGUUGUUCGGAAUCACUGGGCGUAAAGCGCGUGUAGGCGGCCAGGCAAGUCGGUUGUGAAAUCCCGAGGCCCAACCUCGGAACUGCAACCGAAACUGCUUGGCUCGAGUCCCGGAGAGGGUGGCGGAAUUUCCGGUGUAGAGGUGAAAUUCGUAGAUAUCGGAAGGACACCAGUGGCGAGGCGGCCACCUGGACGGUGACUGACGCUGAGACGCGAAAGCGUGGGAGCAAACAGGAUUAGAUACCCUGGUAGUCCACGCCGUAAACGUUGGGUGCUAGGCGUCGGGGGUAUUGACCCCUCCGGUGCCGAAGCUAACGCAUUAAGCACCCCGCCUGGGGAGUACGGCCGCAAGGCUAAAACUCAAAGGAAUUGACGGGGGCCCGCACAAGCGGUGGAGCAUGUGGUUUAAUUCGAAGCAACGCGCAAAACCUUACCUGGGUUUGACAUCUGGGGAACUUCCUGGAAACAGGAAGGUGCCUUCGGGAGCCCCAAGACAGGUGCUGCAUGGCUGUCGUCAGCUCGUGUCGUGAGGUGUUGGGUUAAGUCCCGCAACGAGCGCAACCCUCACUUUUAGUUGCCAUCAUUAAGUUGGGCACUCUGAAAGAACUGCCAGUGAUAAGCUGGAGGAAGGUGGGGAUGACGUCAAGUCCUCAUGGCCCUUACGUGUUGGGCUACACACGUGCUACAAUGGUAUCCACAACAGGAAGCAAGACUGCGAAGUCAAGCAAAUCCUAAAAAGAUACCUCAGUUCGGAUUGCACUCUGCAACUCGAGUGCAUGAAGCUGGAAUUACUAGUAAUCGUGGAUCAGCGUGCCACGGUGAAUGCGUUCCCGGGUCUUGCACUCAC
Molecule: ribosomal RNA, 1402 nt
Filed under: uncultured bacterium
Lineage: Bacteria
Description: bacterial SSU rRNA
Rfam family: Bacterial small subunit ribosomal RNA
Source: RNAcentral